Molecule: ribosomal RNA, 468 nt
Filed under: uncultured bacterium
Lineage: Bacteria
Description: partial 16S ribosomal RNA
Rfam family: Bacterial small subunit ribosomal RNA
Source: RNAcentral
GACGAACGCUGGCGGUGUGCUUAACACAUGCAAGUCGAACGGUAAGGCCCUUUCGGGGGUACACGAGUGGCGCACGGGUGAGUAACACGUGAGUAACCUGCCCUCAUCUCUGGGAUAACAGUCGGAAACGGUUGCUAAUACUGGAUAUGAGCUUGCAAGGCAUCUUGUGGGUUGGAAAGAUUUUUUUUGGUUGGGGAUGGACUCGCGGCCUAUCAGCUUGUUGGUGGGGUAGGGGCGCACCAAGGCUUCGACGGGGAGCCGGCCUGAGAGGGCGACCGGCCACAUUGGGACUGAGAUACAGGCCACACUCCGGAGGGAGGCAGCAGUGGGGAAUAUUGCACAAAGGACGGAAGUCUGAGGCAGCAACGCCGCGGGCGGGAUGACGGCCUUCGGGUUGUAGACCGCUUUCAAUUGUGACGAAGCGUUUUUGUGACGGUAGCAGUAGAAGAAGCACCGGCUAACUACGUG